GGGGCCAUAGCUCAAUUGGUAGAGUACUACAAUGGCAUUGUAGAGGUCAGGGGUUCGACCCCCCUUGGCUCCA
RNAcentral lists this transfer RNA (73 nucleotides) under Strigamia maritima. Its description in RNAcentral is "tRNA-Ala for anticodon GGC". It matches the Rfam family "tRNA". From Rfam's summary of the family: Transfer RNA (tRNA) molecules are approximately 80 nucleotides in length. The record is from Rfam by way of RNAcentral. Lineage: Eukaryota; Metazoa; Arthropoda; Chilopoda; Geophilomorpha; Linotaeniidae.